This 207-nucleotide ribosomal RNA is filed under the name uncultured bacterium. Its description in RNAcentral is "partial 16S ribosomal RNA". It matches the Rfam family "Bacterial small subunit ribosomal RNA", at positions 568 to 774 of the family's 1533-position model. The record is from RNAcentral.
CGCGUAGGCGGUUGAGUAAGUCAAAUGUGAAAUCCCCGGGCUUAACCUGGGAACUGCAUUCGAUACUGCUUAACUAGAGUAUGGUAGAGGGAAGUGGAAUUCCGGAUGUAGCGGUGAAAUGCGUAGAUAUCCGGAGGAACACCAGUGGCGAAGGCGACUUCCUGGGCCAAUACUGACGCUGAGGUGCGAAAGCGUGGGGAGCAAACA